Molecule: ribosomal RNA, 460 nt
Filed under: uncultured bacterium
Lineage: Bacteria
Description: partial 16S ribosomal RNA
Rfam family: Bacterial small subunit ribosomal RNA
Source: RNAcentral
CCUACGGGUGGCAGCAGUGAGGAAUAUUCCUCAAUGGACGAGAGUCUGAACCAGCAACGUAGCGUGAAGGAUGACUGCCCUCUGGGUUGUAAACUUCUUUUAUAUGGGAAUAAAAUGUUCCACGUGUGGGAUUUUGUAUGUACCAUAUGAAUACGGAUCGGCUAACUCAGUGCCAGCCGCCGCGGUAAUACGGUGGAUCCGAGCGUUAUCCGGAUUUAUUGGGUUUAAGGGGAGCGUAGGUGGAUUGUUAAGUCAGUUGUGAAAGUUUGCGGCUCAACCGUAAAAUUGCAGUUGAAACUGGCAGGCGUGAGUACAGUAGAGGUGGGCGGAAUUCGUGGUGUAGCGGUGAAAUGCUUAGAUAUCACGAAGAACACCGAUGGCGAAGGCAGCUCACUGUACUGCAACUGACACUGAGGCUCGAAAGUGUGGGUAUCAAACAGGAUUAGAUACCCCUGUAGUC